GUCAUUUGAAAUUUCAAAUUAUCCUUUAAUUUCUGUUCUUGUUGCUAGAAGAGGAAAAAAAUAAAAUUCAAUCAUGAAGAUCAUAUAUAUGAUGAUGUUCGUAUUUGCUCUUUUGGUUGCAAGUGCAAGCGCAACAAAACCAUCACCGGUAAAACGAGGGGCUGGAAAUGCUCCAGCACAUUGAUUUUCAUAACCUGGAGAUCAUCAUAGAAGAUCUACUAAAAAGUAGUAUGAUGUUAAAUAAAACUGAUAAAUAAUAUGCAAAAAUCAGUCCAAUAAAAAAAAAAAC
This is a long non-coding RNA of Microplitis demolitor, 289 nucleotides long. RefSeq lists it as uncharacterized. Lineage: Eukaryota; Metazoa; Arthropoda; Insecta; Hymenoptera; Braconidae. The record is from RefSeq and is a predicted model, not a curated record. The transcript has 4 exons.